CAAGAAUGAAAUUAAUCCAGGGAUUAGCCCCAGCUUACACUUGCAAACAUAAAAUUAACAUCCUUGACUUUCCCAAAACCCCAACAAAGAAACACCACCCAUCCACACCGGAAGCAAAAGGUAAACAAAAAGACCCAAACACAAGAGAAAACAAUACCAAGAAUCACCCUUACUUGAAGCUUUCCAUAGCAGAUUCAAUCAUCAA
This is a long non-coding RNA of Rhododendron vialii, 205 nucleotides long. RefSeq lists it as uncharacterized. Lineage: Eukaryota; Viridiplantae; Streptophyta; Magnoliopsida; Ericales; Ericaceae. The record is from RefSeq and is a predicted model, not a curated record. The transcript has 2 exons.